RNAcentral lists this ribosomal RNA (339 nucleotides) under Pseudomonas aeruginosa. RNAcentral's name for it is "bacterial SSU rRNA". It matches the Rfam family "Bacterial small subunit ribosomal RNA", at positions 1 to 342 of the family's 1533-position model. Lineage: Bacteria; Pseudomonadati; Pseudomonadota; Gammaproteobacteria; Pseudomonadales; Pseudomonadaceae. The record is from RNAcentral.
GAACUGAAGAGUUUGAUCAUGGCUCAGAUUGAACGCUGGCGGCAGGCCUAACACAUGCAAGUCGAGCGGAUGAAGGGAGCUUGCUCCUGGAUUCAGCGGCGGACGGGUGAGUAAUGCCUAGGAAUCUGCCUGGUAGUGGGGGAUAACGUCCGGAAACGGGCGCUAAUACCGCAUACGUCCUGAGGGAGAAAGUGGGGGAUCUUCGGACCUCACGCUAUCAGAUGAGCCUAGGUCGGAUUAGCUAGUUGGUGGGGUAAAGGCCUACCAAGGCGACGAUCCGUAACUGGUCUGAGAGGAUGAUCAGUCACACUGGAACUGAGACACGGUCCAGACUCCUAC